AACGAACGCUGGCGGCAUGCCUAACACAUGCAAGUCGAACGAAACCUUCGGGUCUAGUGGCGCACGGGUGCGUAACGCGUGGGAACCUGCCCUUAGGUUCGGAAUAACUCCCCGAAAGGGGUGCUAAUACCGGAUAAUGUCUUCGGACCAAAGAUUUAUCGCCUUUGGAUGGGCCCGCGUUGGAUUAGCUAGUUGGUAGGGUAAAAGCCUACCAAGGCGACGAUCCGUAGCUGGUCUGAGAGGAUGAUCAGCCACACUGGGACUGAGACACGGCCCAGACUCCUACGGGAAGCAGCAGUGGGGAAUAUUGGACAAUGGGCGAAAGCCUGAUCCAGCAAUGCCGCGUGAGUGAUGAAGGCCUUAGGGUUGUAAAGCUCUUUUACCCGGGAUGAUAAUGACAGUACCGUGAGAAUAAGCCCCGGCUAACUCCGUG
RNAcentral lists this ribosomal RNA (433 nucleotides) under uncultured bacterium. RNAcentral describes it as "partial 16S ribosomal RNA". It matches the Rfam family "Bacterial small subunit ribosomal RNA", at positions 29 to 507 of the family's 1533-position model. The record is from RNAcentral.